This is an RNA transcript of Vicia villosa (hairy vetch), 1849 nucleotides long. RefSeq lists it as uncharacterized. The record is from RefSeq and is a predicted model, not a curated record. The transcript is spliced from 7 exons. NCBI's taxonomy places the organism in Eukaryota, Viridiplantae, Streptophyta, Magnoliopsida, Fabales, Fabaceae.
UCAUUCUAACCUAAUUUUUUCUCUUCUCUUCCUCAAUCGCCGCUGAAGAAUAACGACACCAAUCUGCAUCACCAUUCACUAAACCUACCUCACUCUAAAACUAUUAUCAUUCAUUCAACAACACCUCUCUCCUCUUCUUUUUCUCUUCUCUGGUUGUUCGGAUCCAACUCGAGGAAAGAAACAAAUUGGGGGUUAGGGUUUGCACUUUUCAGAAAAUUUUCAAAGUCGAAUUUCCAUAGCAAUGGCUUCCACAAAGAAGAUCACUCUCAAGAGUUCUGAUGGCGAGUCAUUUGAGGUUGUCAAAGCUGUGGCUUUGGAAUUCCCAGUUCUAAUUUUUUUCCUUUUCGAAUUUUUCAAUCCGUCGUAACGGAAUGGUCCAACGACCUCAUCGCCUUCAUCUCAGAAGCUCACGAGCUUCAUCCACCGCACGCAUGCACCUCACCACAUUCGGAAAAAGACAUUUGACUCACCGCCGGUCAAGAAGUACAGGUCAAUGGAGGAUAUAUUGGCGAGGGCGAAGUACGCGGUGGUGGAGAAUGAGGAUUACGGUAGCCUCAUGUGCGAGCAAUGUGGCAUCGGGGAGCAGCCGGAGGAGCUGCUGUUGUGCGACAAAAGUGACAAAGGAUUCCAUAUGAAAUAUGUGAGGCCGAUUGUUGUGAGGAUUCCGAUUGGUUCCUGGAUUUUCCCUAAGUGUUCAGGGGUGAAGAAAGUGAAAAUUCACGCAAAGGAGAAUACUUGAUUUCUUCGGGCUUCCAAGGAAUUUGCCUGAUUUCAGAAGGAAUAAUUCUUCUUCUCGGGCGGUGUCAUAGAUGUACAAGACUCAAAUUAUGUAGUAGGAGAAAAAGAUGUAAUUUGGAUGCUGCAGUUGGUCCUACCUUAUUUGAAUUAAUUCUUGUCCAAACUUAAAGCACCUUUCUCAGGAGAUCUUGGUACAACAAUGAAGUUGGCCAUUUUUCUGUUUGUUUUGGCUAGAUAUGGCAGUUUCAUAACUAUAUGGAAGAUGGCCAACUUCGGUUUUCUAGAAACAUCGUGAUUGGUAUAGAAGGUGUUCUCGAGUUAUCUAAAAGAGGUUUCUCCCGCCGGCAUCACUCUUUCGAUGGAUGGUUUUGUUUUACCAUCGUUUGAGUCUAGUAUUUUGAAGGAUAAAGACAUUGUGUGGUGAGUUUUAUUUUUUAUCUGUAGCAGUUAUUUUUGUGGAUGUAUCUAAAAGACAAAUUAUAUUUGCCUUUUGUAGUUGUUUCUGUGGAUGUAUCUUGUUAGUUUGAUUCCAUUAUUUUUGUAAGGAUUGUGUCUUGGUACACGUGUCACUAGUGCUAAGUUAGAACAGAGUAGUAUGAACUCAUUUUAUGUCUUUUAUGUUUAUAAUUCAUGAAAUCUAGUGCAAAUUUAUGUGUCACAAUGGUAUGAUUGGCUUAACCUGUAUUGUGGCAAGUAACUUAUACUUUCAGGGAAGAUCAUCUUUGCUUAAAAGGUUGGGCACAUUUAAGGUCACUGAAGUUAGCCAGAGAGAUUCUAGUAAUAAUGAUAUUCUGGAAGAGCCUGUUAGCAUCACCGGCCUUGAAACAUUUUCACUAAGUUAUAAGGUGCACUAGCCAUUGUCUAUAGUAUUAUCACGUAAAGCCCUUAUAAAUUACCAGCUAAUUUGUCGAUUUCUUUUCCACUGCAAACAUGUUGACCGUCAGCUAUGUGGAGCCUGGCAAACACAUCAAGUAUGGCUAUGAUUGCCUUUGCUUCACUUUGUGUUUUGUGUUUAAUUCGUCUUACCUUCAUCUUUGGUCCCAUAUUGUAGAAAGUGUAACAUUUUCUGUCUGAAACAAGUUAUUCAACAUCAUGAUUUUUUCCUUGAUAA